UUUCCAGACUCCUACGGGAGGCAGCAGUGGGGAAUAUUGGGCAAUGGGCGCAAGCCUGACCCAGCAACGCCGCGUGAAGGAAGAAGGCUUUCGGGUUGUAAACUUCUUUUGUCAGGGACGAAGCAAGUGACGGUACCUGACGAAUAAGCCACGGCUAACUACGUGCCAGCAGCCGCGGUAAUACGUAGGUGGCAAGCGUUAUCCGGAAUUAUUGGGUGUAAAGGGUGCGUAGACGGGACAGCAAGUUAGUUGUGAAAGCCCUCGGCUUAACUGAGGAACUGCAACUAAAACUAUUGUUCUUGAGUGCAGGAGAGGAAAGCGGAAUUCCUAGUGUAGCGGUGAAAUGCGUAGAUAUUAGGAGGAACACCAGUGGCGAAGGCGGCCUGCUGGACGAUGACUGACGUUGAGGCUCGAAAGCGUGGGGAGCAAACAGGAUUAGAUACCCCAGUAA
RNAcentral lists this ribosomal RNA (451 nucleotides) under uncultured bacterium. RNAcentral describes it as "bacterial SSU rRNA". It matches the Rfam family "Bacterial small subunit ribosomal RNA", at positions 328 to 793 of the family's 1533-position model. The record is from RNAcentral.